UAACACAAUGGCAUUCUUGGUAUUCUUGAUUUCUUUGCUGGUUGUUCCAAGAGGGGUCUUCUCAGACAUUCGGGCUGUAUUGACUGGGCCAGGAAUGGUAAGACCCAGAGAGAAUCUCAGCUUAGUCUGUAAAGUGACUGGAUUCUCCAUCUCCACCUCCGGUUACCCUUGGCAAUGGAUGCGGCAGCCUGCAGGGAAAGGUCUAGAAUGGAUUGCAGGAAUGAACCCCCAUGGUGGAGCCAAAUGGUAUGCCCCUUCUCUUAAAAGCCGUUCCACCAUUUCUUCAGAUUCCUCAAAGAACCAGAUCAUCCUCCAGCUGAACUCCAUGACAGCUGGUGAUUCAGCUAUGUAUUUCUGUGCCCGAGAACACACAGCGAGAAAAGAGCUAUAG
Non-coding RNA from Elgaria multicarinata webbii, 391 nucleotides. The record is from the annotation of a RefSeq genome assembly. NCBI's taxonomy places the organism in Eukaryota, Metazoa, Chordata, Lepidosauria, Squamata, Anguidae.